UGGUUCUGGCAUCGAUGAAGAACGCAGCGAAAUGCGAUAAGUAAUGUGAAUUGCAGAAUUCAGUGAAUCAUCGAAUCUUUGAACGCACAUUGCGCCCUCUGGUGUUCCGGGGGGCAUGCCUGUCCGAGCGUCAUUGCAACUCUCAAGCAUAGCUUGGUUUUGGACUUCACUCCGCAAGAAGUGUGUCCGAAAAGCAGUGGAUGUCCGGCGUGACAUUGGGUGUAUUAAAUUUUCCACGCUUGAAGCUCACGACGAAUAUUCAUAAUCUUUCUCUCAAGAUUGACCUCGGAUCAGACAGGGAUACCCGCUGA
Molecule: unclassified non-coding RNA, 311 nt
Filed under: uncultured fungus
Lineage: Eukaryota; Fungi
Description: partial contains 5.8S ribosomal RNA and internal transcribed spacer 2
Rfam family: 5.8S ribosomal RNA (bases 1-133)
Source: RNAcentral